GUCCUAGCUGGCUUACAGGGCGGCGGCGGGGUGUGUGUCCUCUGUUAAGAGUGCUACUCGCCCGGGGUUGAUCUGUGCAUGCCACUCCUGGGUCAGACGGUGAGGUCGGCGUCUGCGAGGACGCGGCGGUGGAGUAGAAGGGCAGCCGGAGACAGGCCCGGCGCCCCUUCCGAGGCUAGACGGCCCCAGCUUCGCGGGGAUCAUGGCAUUGCUGGUGGACCGAGUGCGGGGCCACUGGCGAAUCGCCGCCGGGCUCCUGUUCAACCUGCUGGUGUCCAUCUGCAUUGUGUUCCUCAACAAAUGGAUUUAUGUGUACCACGGCUUCCCCAACAUGAGCCUGACCCUGGUGCACUUCGUGGUCACCUGGCUGGGCUUGUAUAUCUGCCAGAAGCUGGACAUCUUUGCCCCCAAAAGUCUGCCGCCCUCCAGGCUCCUCCUCCUGGCCCUCAGCUUCUGUGGCUUUGUGGUCUUCACUAACCUUUCUCUGCAGAACAACACCAUAGGCACCUAUCAGCUGGCCAAGGCCAUGACCACGCCGGUGAUCAUAGCCAUCCAGACCUUCUGCUACCAGAAAACCUUCUCCACCAGAAUCCAGCUCACGCUGCAGAUUUCAUAAAUUUUGAAGCUGUAUUCCAAGGUUUAGAAAAUACAGUAUAGAGACAAUAGACUGUUGGGAAGAAAGCAUAAUUGCAUAAGUUGUCUGACUCAAGGUGAAGAGAAGAAAGGAGACAGAGAAACUUGGGUGUGUGAUGCUCACCAAAUACCUACCUGUUUUGGGUAGGAGCCAAACAGCAUGAAUUACAAGUGAACUCAAUGCAGCUGCUGUACUACCAGGCUCCGAUGUCAUCUGCCAUGUUGCUGGUUGCUGUGCCCUUCUUUGAGCCAGUGUUUGGAGAAGGAGGAAUAUUUGGUCCCUGGUCAGUUUCUGCUUUGCUUAUGGUGCUGCUAUCUGGAGUAAUAGCUUUCAUGGUGAACUUAUCAAUUUAUUGGAUCAUUGGGAACACUUCACCUGUCACCUAUAACAUGUUCGGACACUUCAAGUUCUGCAUUACUUUAUUCGGAGGAUAUGUUUUAUUUAAGGAUCCACUGUCCAUUAAUCAGGCCCUUGGCAUUUUAUGUACAUUAUUUGGCAUUCUCGCCUAUACCCACUUUAAGCUCAGUGAACAGGAAGGAAGUAGGAGUAAACUGGCACAACGUCCUUAAUUGGGUUUUUGUGGAGAAAAGAAUGUUGUCCCAAGAAGAUAAAAAAUAUUGUUAAGUGUGCAAGUUAUUAAAAAAAAAAAAUUGGGCCAGGCACGGUGGCUCACGCCUGUAAUCCCAGCACUUUGGGAGGCCAAGGCCAGCGGAUCACUUGAGGUCAGGAGUUCGAGACCAGCCUGACCAACAUGGAGAAACCCUGUCUCAACUAAUAAUACAAAAUUAGCCAGGCGUGGUGGCGCAUGCCUGUAAUCCCAGCUACUCGGGAGGCUGAGGCAGGAGAAUCACUUGAACCCGGGAGGCGGCGGUUGCAGUGAGCCGAGAUCGUACCAUUGCACUCCAGCCUGGGCAACAAGAGCGAAACUCCAUUUCAAAAAAAAAAAAUUGGUGACAGACUCAAUGAUGGAAUGAUUUGUCGGAAUUAACACAAAGCAGAUUUUAUUCAUAUAAUGACUUUUUUUUAAGAGUCUCUUUUUUAAAAAAACUUAAUUCUCUAAAACCGAAAUGGUUCAUGCUUCUUUUUAAAAAUGAUUGUAUAAAAUGUAUGGAAUGGUUAGCCUGGUGUGGUGGUGCACACCUGUAAUCCCAGCUACUUGGGAGACUGAGACAUGAGAAUCGCUUGAGCCUGGGAGGCGGAGGUUGCAAUGAGCCAAGAUCGUACCACUGCACUCCAGCCUGGGCGACAGAGCAAGACACUGUCUCUCUCUCUCUCUCCAUAUAUAUAUGUGUGUGUGUGUAUAUAUAUAUAUAUGUGUGUGUGUGUGUGUGUAUACAUAUAUACACAUAUAUACACACACACAUACAUAUACAUGUGUAUAUAUAUACCAUCCCAUAUAUAUGUGGGAUAUAUAUAUAUAUAUAUAUGGAUAUGGUUAUAUAUAUGGGAUGGUUUGGUUGGUCCCAGCAAAGUAUAUGAAAAUUAAAGUUCUGUGAUAAUGACAAAGGAAUUGCUGUUACUGUACUGCAAAUAUGCUGUGGGUUCUCGGUGUUCAAACUCUUCUAAGGAAGGACACACAGUAGCUCUCUGCUUGCUGAUAGAUGGUUUCCCAGUGUGAGAUUUGUUAUUUUGAUCAGAGUAUUCAAAUCAGAAUUUAAAUCUAGUGUUUCUAUUUUAGUUUAGCUUCCUGAUUUAUAUAAAUGAAAUCUCAUUUAUAAAGUAUAAUAAAGAUGACUGUAAGACAAAAUCCAAUUCUAAAAGUAUGAUUUUUUUCUAGUAGAAAAUUGAUGUAAGAAAUCAUACAUUAUUCAUACAUUUAUAGGUCAUCUCUUUGAGUUUUCAGUGAACUAUAGAAACUAUAUGGAGUUAAAAAACAAAACGGCAGCCAAUCUCAGUGGCUCACACCUGUAAUCCCAGCACUUUGGAAGGUUGAGGCAGGCAGAUCACCUGAGGUUGGGAGUUCAAGACCAGUCUGACCAACAUGGAGGAAUCCCGUCUCUACUAAAAAUACAAAAUUAGCCAGGCAUGGUGGCACAUGCCUGUAAUCCCAGCUGCUCGGGAGGCUGAGGCAGGAGAAUCGCUUGAACCCAGGAGGCAGAGGUUGUGGUGAGCCGAGAUCAUGCCAUUGCUCUCCAGCCUGGGCAACAAGAGUGAAACUCCAUCUCAAAAAAAAAAAAAAAAAAUAGCCCUAUGUUUAAAUGGCUCAAAGAAAAGACUAUAAAUGGAAUUGAACAUGUUUGUUAGCUGUUUGAGCAUUUUAUAUUGGUAAAUUUUUUAUUUUCUUAUUUUUUGUCUUACAGUCGACCAGGCUGGAAUGCAGUGGCACAAUCAUGGCUCACUGCAGCCUCAGCCUCCUGGGCUCAAGCAAUCCUCCUGCCUCAACCUCCCCAGUAGCUGGGACUACAGGUGCACACCAACAUACCUGGCUGAUUUUUAUAUUUUUUGUAGAGACAGAGUUUUGCCAUGUUGCUCAGGCUGAUCUCAAACUCUUGAGCUCAAGCCAUCUGUCUGCCUCAGCCUCUCGAAGUGCUGGGAUUACAGGCCUGAGCCACCACACCUGGCCAGUAAUUUCUUAAUCCUACCUCCCUGCUUCUAUUGCCUAGCCCGUACAUUUGAGGCUUCCAUGGAGCUUUCUGUGGUACUGAAACACUUGGAGUGAACUGCAAACUUGGAGUGAACUACAUCCAACCUUUCUAAGGUGGCUGGGGAAAAUUCUUGUACAGCAAGUUGGGACAAAAUAGCCAUAUAGAAACAGCCAUAUAAGAUCCCAAUAUAGAAAAAUUGGGAUAUUAGAGGAAAUACAUGAUUUCCAUUUAUGGAGUGCUACAUGUUUGCAAAAUGUAUUUCUGCUUUUCAUCUUCUUGACAUCUGAAUAUUAAAAGCAGUUGUUGAUAAUUUCAUAUAAUAAAUUGAGACAUAUCAUUACUCUUGUAAUAAUUCAUUUUCUAAAUGUUAUUUAUCAACUUUCAUGGAGAAAACAACUCUUAGGAGAACAAAGACCAGCCCGGGCAACAUGGCAAAACCCUGUCUGCAAAAAAUACAAAAAUUAGCCGGGCCUAGUGGCACGUGCCUGUAGCUCCAUCUACUCAGGAGGCUGAGGUGGGAGGAUUGCUUGAGCCCAGAAGAUGCAGGUUGCAGUGAGCCGAGAUCAUGCCACUGCACUUCAGCCUGGGCGACAGACUGGACUCUGUCUCGGGAAAAAAAAAAAAAAAAAAAGGGAAGAGCGACAAAAUAUACCUUUUGAUAAGACAGUAAAUUUUAUGUUUUGUGUUUUUUAACACAAUAAAAAUAUAUAUACACACAUAUAAUAUACCUUUGGGGUUUUUAGGAUUUUUUUUUCCUGGACUCUGAAAUGAGAAGCCUCGCUGAAAAUCUGUUUUGGAGAAUUCCAGUUUGUCAGUCAGUCUCUUGUGUAAUUAGUACGUGUGGCUUCCUUCUUUGUUUUAAAUAUUCUUUGGUUCUUCUCAUUUUACAAAGAUAUAUAUUUUUUGUGCUAAGGACAGAGCAAUUAGUUUUUACCAGAUAAGCCUCGGGUAUUAUGUUUGUCUAAGAAACAUUCUCUGUGUAUGUUUAAAUUGUAAUUAUUUCCCAAAAGCUGAGGAAAAUGUUUCAGCACAGUGAGGAUUUGACGUCUGCACUGAGAACAGCUGAGUUUAUUUGUGCCAUUUAGAAAUUCGUAACUGUAGGCUGGGCGCAGUGGCUUACGCCUAUAAUCCCAGCACUUUGAGAGGCCAAGGCGGGUGGAUCACCUGAGGUCAGGAGUUUGAGACCAGCCUGGCCAACAUGGCGAAACACUGUCUCUACUAAAAAUACAAAAAUUAGCUGGGCAUGGUGGCGGGCGCCUGUAAUUCCAGCUACUCGGGAGGCUGAGACAGGAGAAUCACUUGAACCAGGGAGUCGGAGGUUGCAGUGAGCCGAGACUGCGCCAUUGCACACCAGCCUGGGUGACGAGAGUGAAACUCUGUCUCAAAAAAAGAAAAAAAAAAAGAAAUUUUUAACCGUAAAUAGAACUUGGGGAGGGUGUUAUAUAAUAUAUGUGUCAGUAGGAAGGCAGUAAGAAGAUUGGAGUAAGACAGGAUGGGGUUACAUGUAUAUAAAUGAAUAAAAUAAGUACUGCUAAAACUUGAGUCUGAUAAACUUUUUUGCCCCGAAGAUAAUCAUCCCACUGAAAAGAAAACUCUGGGGAAAAUAUGCCAGAUACUAGGACCAAGCACGGAGACAAACCAGAUACAGUGCUUUCAAAGAAAACAUGCUUGCUGUCCUUUGUUACCAGUGUAAUUGUAAUUAUUGUUUAUUCUGUGUUAAGUGACUGAAUUUCAAUUUUUACCUUUUAAAAAUAAAGAGAACCUCUUUUUACUUCUGUAUUGCAUAUGAGAGCUGAUGGAAGAAGGAUGGCAUCUGUGUAACAUAUGCAUGGUAACGCUGACGUGUUCAGCUGUUCAUAUUUGGCCUGUCCAAAUAAGCAGAAAUGAAUGAAACAAAAUUCCAUCUCCUUUUAGAAAUAACAUAAAGGAGAAAUCUAUCUCUGUGAAAUGAAGUAAGCAUUCUUCUGUUUCACUUUUUAAAAUACUUUUAAAAUCUUGCUGUUUUCAACCUAUUAAUGACUUUUUGAAAUUGUAUUUCAAAGCAGAAACAUUAGGUUGGGUAUGGUGGCUCACGCCUGUAAUCCCAGCACUUUGGGAAGCUGAGGUGGGCAGAUCACCUGAGGUCAGGAGUUCAAGACCAGCCUGGCCAAUAUGGUGAAACCUUGUCUCUACUAAAAAUACAAAAAUUAGCCAGGUGUGGUGUUGCAUGCCUGUAGUCCCAGCUACUUGGGAGGCUGAGGCAGGAGAAUGGCUUGAACCCGGGAGGCGGAGGUUGCAGUGAGCCGAGAUCACGCCACUGCACUCCAGCCUGGGCAACAGAGCAAGACUCCAUCUCAAUAAUAAUAAUAAUAAUAACAAAGCAGCAACAUUAAUCAAGCACUCUGUAUUCACUCCGUCAGUAAAUACUGUCGGGUGAAUGACUGCAGAAUGGCCAAAGGUGAGAGUUUGAUUAAAAGAAAGGAGACCUUGGCCGGGCACGGUGGCUCACGCCUGUAAUCCCAACACUUUGGGAGGCUGAGGUGGGUGGAUCACCUGAGGUCAGGAGUUCGAGACCAGCCUGGCCAACAUGGUGAAACCCCAUCUCUACUAAAAAUACAAAAAAAUUAGCUGGGCGUGGUGGUGGAUGCCUGUAAUCCCAGCUACUUGGGAGGCUGAGGCUGGAGAAUCCCUUGAACUUGGGAGGCGGAGGUUUCAGUGAGCCAAGAUCAUGCCAUUGCACUGCAGCCUGGGCAACAAGAGCAAAACUGUCUCAAAUAAAUAAAUAAUAAAAGAAAGGAGACCGGAUUUAUUAGAUGUGGUCCGUUUUGUCUUUCUGUUCCCAAACUUAAACUGGAUUAUACCUGCUAAUAUCAGGAAUAUAAUGAUAAUUGCAUUCAUUCAACAAAAAUUUAUUGAGCAUAUACUGUGUGCCAGGUACUGUCCUAGGCAUUAUGGAUAUAAAACAGUUUUUAUGUAGAGACAGUCCUAUAUUUCCUGUGAUCUUAAGGAACAUUUGUCUAGUAUUAGAGAUAGGACUAAUUAAACAAAAACAAGACAAGAAUAAUUAAACAGCAAACUCAAUGAAUGCUAAAGGGAACAUCGUUCUGUGAGCACAUAACAAAAGAAUCUGGCCCAGGCUUGGCACUUGUGGAGGGAGUCCAUGAGGAAAGUUUGAGCUGCAGUCAUAGAUACAUAGAAGUUAGCUAGCUAGGCAGAGGGAGGGUAUUGCAUUCUGGAAAGAGGGAAUAGCACAUACAAAUGCCUAGUGGUUGGAGGAAUUGUGAUGCUUUUAAAGAACUGUAAAAAGGAUGGAGUCUGGAGACUAAAUUUGGGAGUGGGGAGACAUGGUGUGUCCUGCACCUGGAAAUGUAGAUAGACCUCAGGCCAUACAAUACCUGGAGGCUAUGGUAAGCAUCUUUAGUAAGAGCAAGGGGGAGUGUUGUGAGCACUGUCACAGUAAAUUUCUUUUUUUGAAAUUAGUGGAGGAGAACCAGAGAGAUGCCAGGAGACCAGUUAGUUGGGAGAUGACUGUAGUUAGAGAUGGUGGUAGCUUCAAAGGUAGUGGAAUGAGAUAAGUGGAAAUAAUUGAGUAGCUGGAGUCAACUGGACUGGAGAUGGAUUGGAAAUGGAGGGCAUGAGAAGGGGUGAAGUUAAGGAUCACACUUCAGCUGGGCACAGUGGCUCAUGCCUGUAAUCCCAGCACUUUGGGAGGCUGAGGUGGGUGGAUUGCUUGAGUCCAGGAGUUCGAGACCAGCCUGGGCAAACAUGAUGAAACCCCAUCUCUACAAAGAAUACAAAAUUAGCUGGGCAUGGUGGUGUGGGCCUGUGGUCCCAGCUACUCAGGAGGCUGAGGCGGGAGGAUCUCCUGAGCCCAGGAGUUUGAGGCUUCAGUGCGCCAUGAUCACGCCACUGCACUCUAGCCUGGGUGACAGAGUGAGUCCCUGUCUCAACAACAACAAAAAAUCACACAUGUCUGAUUUGCGCAGCUUGAUAGAGAAUGGUGCCAUUCUCUGAACUAGGAAACACAAGAAGAGGACUGAGGAGAGGGAUGAGGCAGAGGAAUAUUAUGGGCCUUCUUGAUACUGAGAUAUCCAAUUAAAGAUGUUGGCCAGGCAUGGUGGCUCAGGCUUGUAAUCCCAGCACUUUGGGAAGCUGAGGCAGUCAGAUCACUUCAGAUCAGGAGUUUGAGACCAGCCUGACCAACAUGGUGAAACCCCGUCUCUACUAAAAGUACAAAAAUUAGCUGUGUGCGGUGGUGCAUGCCUAUAAUCCCAGCUACUUAGGAGGCUGAGGCAGGAGAAUCGCUUGAAUCUGGGAGGCAGAAGCUGCAGUGAUCUGAGAUUGCACCACUGCACUCCAGCCUGGGUGACAGAGAGAGACUCUAUCUCAGAAAAAAAAAAAAAAGAUGUUAAUCAAAUAAUUAGUUUAUAGAGGCCCAGAACUCAGGAAAAUGUUUAGUUGAGGUGGAGAUAAAACAGGAGUUUCUGGGGUAUGCCUGAUAAGGAGGAAAACAGACCAAGAUGAGCUUGCUGAAGAAGAUAGCAUAAAGCAAGAACAGACUAUAACUGAAGUUGAGGAACUCUGGUAUACAAUGAUAGAACAUAAUGCUGCAAAAGAAACAGAGAAGGAACAAAGAGGUGGGAGGAAAAUGGGCCGGGCACUGUGGCUUAUGCCUGUAAUCCCAACAUUUUUGAGAGGCCAAGCUGGGUGGAUCUCUUGAGCUCAGGAGUUCAAGACCAGCCUGGGCAUCAUGGCAAAACCCUGUCUCUACAAAAAAUACAAUAAUUAAUAGUUUCGAAAGAAAGAAACCUGCCAAGCAAAAGUCCGGUCUCAGCCCGGGAGCUAGUAGCAUGCAGUGGAACAGGUCUCACCUGGACGGCAGCACUGGGACUUCCAGUCCAGACUCUGCCAUUCACUGGUAUAGCCUUUGGCAAAGCCUUUGGGCAGCUUGCUCAAAUCUUACUUCUCAGUUUCUUCACCUAUAAAAUGAGGGCUUUGAUCCAAAUAAUUUCCAGGGGACUGUCCAGCUCCAAAAUCCCCUGAUUCUGCUUUUUCAGAUUAAAAUUAUAAUUUCUCAUUUGCUUAUAAUAAAAGUAGAUUGAAUAAAUUAAUCAGAAGGGUUUGGUUUGUUUGACCUUUUUUUUAAUUUUAAUUUUUAUUUUUUAUUUUUUGAGACAGAGUUUCCUCUGUCUCCCAGGCUUGGUUGUUGUGGCUCAAUCUCAGUUCACUGCAACCUCCGCCUCCCGGGUUCAAGCGAUUCUCCCGCCUCUGCCUCCCGAGUAGCUGAGAUUACAGGCACCCACCAUCAUGCCCAGCUAAUUUUUUGUAUUUUUGUAGAGACAGGGUAUCACCAUGUUGGCCAGGCUGGUCUUGAACUCCUGACCUCAGGUACUCCGCCCACCUCAGCCUCCCAAAGUGCUGGGAUUACAGGUGUGAGCCACCACGCCUGGCCUGUUUGACCUUUAUAAGAUCAAUUUUUUUGUUCACAAGCAUUUCUUUACUCAUAGAUACCAUUUUUAUAACUUAUAUGAGACGCAUUUAAUGUAAUCAUAUUACUUUCUUAUAUUAGAAGAUAGGAUUUCUUCUGAUGUAUCGAAGUUACUUUAUACUUCAUAUGAAGUCAUUAGGAGGUGAAUUAUUGCCAAUUCAAUGAAUUAUUUAUGAGUAUUAGGGGAAUGUUUUUGUUAUGCUGCUUUUAAUUUGGAAAGCAGCAUAUCACUCAAACUAUAGUAAUUCACAUUUUUCCAUUUAACUAAAAAUGUCUCGUAACUACUAUGCCACAAGAACAAGCAUGGAUACUUAUUUAACCAGCCAAGACUAUGCAUUUCUAAAUAUUUAUUUUUUUCGGUUAUCCGUAGACUUUUCCUUUUGAAAUCCAACGAUCUGUAUCAACCACGUCUUCAUUUUCCUUUUCCUGUUUGUCUUACUCUCCCCCCAAAAAGAGUCAGUUUCCUGUUUUCUCAAUUUCUCAGUUUAAAAUUAGAGCCCUAUGGCAGGUGCCAUGUACAGCUGCAAAGGUGGCAAGAAGCCCUGAGAAAGCUCAAGAAGCAGGUCAAGGGGGUGGGUAAGGAAGAUGGGACGUUCAAGCAGAAACAAAAAGAGGAGCUAAAAGUGAAAGCCACCCCGCCACCAGCCCUCACCAGUCACAGGUGGAAUUAAAGAAAUCUGGCAAAAAAUAAAUUUUGUUAUCCGUGCUUGGGGCGGUGACCCUUGACCCCAUUCCUAUUUAAACAUCUGGAUUCUCUGCCAUAACAUCUUUUGCCACCUAUAGCUACAAUAAAGUGUCGUCUUGGAGUCUGUUGUACAUUUAAGAAUAAACUUUUGUAAGGAAGUAAAAAAGAGUCUACAGUUCAGUGCAGGAUAGGGAUGGGUGGGCCUUAAUUCAGGAGGUGGGAGGCUCAAAAUCAAUUACUCUGUUGAGGAGAUGGAAUCUCCUGGAAUCUCAAAAAGGAUUUCCUUUAGGAAUCAUCAGACUCAUCCGACUCGUCAAGUCUUUCUCUGCUUGGAGUUUUGUUUUGUUUUUAUUUUGUUUUGUUUUGGAGAUAGGUUCUCCCUCUGUCACCCAGGCUGGAGUGCAGUGGUGCAAUCACAGCUCACUGCAGCCUCGAAUUCCUAGGCUCAAGUGAUCCUCCCACCUCAGCCUCCUGAGUAGCUGGGACUACAGGUGUGCACCAACAGGCCCAGAUAAUUUUAUUUUUUGUAGAGACGGGGUCUUGCUAUGUUGCCAGGCUGGUCUCCAACUCCUGGCCUCAAGUGAUCCUCUUGCUCUGCCUCCCGAAGUGCUAAAAUUACAGCUGUGAAACACCGCGCCUGGAGUUUAAAAGCAAGAUUAACCUUUUUGGACUGGAGUUCUUAGAGAAUUAUGGUGUGACUCAUUGACCAUAUUUGUUAGGAUCAGCAUUUUUAUAUGAUUUAACACAAAAUGUUACAGAAAAAAGUGCAAAAAUGUUGUAAGGCACAGUUGGUUUCCUAAGCAAAUGCCCAUUCCUAUUCUUUGUUCAUCUCCACUCUAGAGGCUAGAAAUACUAAAUUCUCUUUUUACCUCGUUGCCUUGUAGAGGGAUGAUCAUAUGACAUUUCACCAAUGGCACAUAAUUCAAAGUCUGCUGAGGAUUUCUAGGGUAUCCUGAUUAAAAGGGACAGAUGUGGCUGGUAGUGUCUAUUACCACCUCCUUCCUGCCUUAAAUGUAGCUGCGGAUGUCUAGAAUUGUGCUAAUCAGCUUAUGACUAUAAAAGAGAGGUGAAGAGAGCCAGAUCUGAAAGUGGUGAGCCGACCAGGCACAGUGGCACACCUGUAACCCCAGCACUUUGGGAGGCCGAGGGAGGAGGAUCAUUUGAGCCCAGGAGUUUGAGACCAGCCUGGGCAACAUUGCAAAACCUGUUCUCUGUGAAUAACUUAAAAAUUAGUCAGGUGGCCAGGCGUAGUGGUUCACACCUGCAAUCUCAGCACUUUGGAAGGCUGAGGUGGGUGGAUCACCUGAGGUCAGGAGUUCGAGACCAGCCUGACCAACAUGGAGAAACCCUGUCUCUACUAAAAAUACAAAAUUAGCUGGGCGUAGUGGCUUAUGCCUGUAACCCCAGCUACUCGGCAGGCUGAGACAGGAGAAUCGCUUGAACCAGGGAGGCAGAGGUUGCAGUGAGCUGAGACCACGCCAUUGCACUCCAGCCUGGGCAACAAGAGUGAAACUCCAUCUCAAAAAAAAAAAAAUUAGGUAUAUUGGUGUGCACCUGUGGUCUCAGCUACUCAGGAAGCUGAAGCAGGAGGAUUGCCUGAUCCUGGGAGGUUGAGGCUGCAGUGAGCCAUGAUCAUGCCACUGCACUAUAUGCUGGGCAACAGAGGGAGACCCUGUCUCAAAAACAAACAAAACAAACAAAAAUAAGCAAAAAAAAAAAAGUGUUGAGCAGCUAAAACAAUGCCGUUAGAUGCCCUAUCUCUUAAAAAAAAAAAAAAAAAGAUAAAAUAAAAGAAAUUGGGUCUUGUGGCCAGGUGCGGUGGCUCACGCAUAAUCCCAACACUUUGGGAGGCUGAGGUGGGUGGAUCACUUGAGCCCAGUAGUUUGAGACCAGCCUGGCCAACACGUCUUCUUGUUCUAGAUGAAAAGUAAACCCCUAUUUGGCUUACUCACUUAAAAAAAUAAUAAUAAUUAGAGACAGGGUGUUGCUAUGUUGCCCUGGCUGGUCUCACUCCUGGGUUCAAGUGAUCCUCCUGCCUCAGCCUCCCAAAGUGCUGAUAUUACAGGCGUGAGCAACCAUGCCAGCCUGGCUUAGCCACUUUUAAUUAUUACUCGUAGCUGCAAGAAUGCCAAUGAGCAUUUGGGGUAAAAAGGGGCAAGAAUGGAGGACCUGCUCUGUCUGUCGGACUUUGGAACUCAGGAAGCAACAACUAAGCGUACUCGUUGUCUUAGUCCAUUUUGUGUUGCAUAGAACAGAAUACCUGAAACUGGGUCAUUUAUAAAGAAAAGGAAUUUAUUUCUUACAAUAGUGGAGACUGAGAAGUCCAAGGUACAGGGUCCACAUCUGGUGAGAGACUUCUUGUUCCUGGGAACUCUCUGCAGAGACCCAAGGUGGCAGAGGGCCUCACGUGGUGAGGGACUUGAGCAUGGUAGCUCAGGUCUCUCUUCCUCUUCUUAUAAAGGCACCAGUCUCACUGGGCAGAGCCUUCAUGACCCAGUCACCUUUUAAAGGCGCCAUCUCUCAAUAUUGCCACAUUGGGGAUGUUUCCAGAUGAGUUUUGGAGGAGACAAAUAUUCAAACUACAGCACUGGUUAAAAAUAAAAAUAGGGCCUGGCGUGGUGGCUCACGCCUGUCAUCCCAGCAGUUUGGGAGGCUGAGGCAGAUGGAUCACCUGAGGUCAGGAGUUCGAGACCAGCCUGGCCAACAUGGUGAAACCCCGUCUCUACUAAAAAUAUAAAAAUUAGCCAGGCAUGCUGGCGUGUGCCUGUAAUCCCAGCUGCUCAGGAGGCUGAGGCAGGAGAAUGGCUUGAACCCGAGAGGCAGAGGUUGCAGUAAGCUGGAAUCACACUAUUACACUCCAGCCUGGGUGACAAGAGCGAAACUCUGUCUCAAAAAAAAAAAAAAAAAAAAAAAAAAAAAAAGGCCAGACUUGGUAGCUAACACCUGUAAUCCCAGCACUUUGGGAGGCCAAGGCAGGAGGAUCACUUGAGGUCAGGAGUUGGAGACCAGCCUGGCCAACAUGGUGAAACCCCGUUUCUACCAAAAAUACAAAAAUUAGCCGGGCAUGGUGACGUGUGCCUGGCAGAGGUUUCAGUGAGCCGAGAUCAUGCCAUUACACUCCAGCCUGGGUGACAAGAGCAAAACUCUGUCUCACAAAAAAAAAAAAAAGGCCAGGCAUGAUGACUCACGCCUGUAAUCCCAGCGAUUUGGGAGGCCGAGGCAGGUGGAUCACUUGAGGUCAGGAGUUGGAGACCAGCCUGGCCAACAUGGUGAAACCCAAUCUCUACUAAAAAUACAAAAAUUAGCUGGACGUGGUGGCAGGCGCCUGUAAUCCCAGCUACUCACUCAGGAGGCUGAGGCAGGAAACUCACAUGAACCCUGGAGACGUAGGUUGCAGUGAGCUGAGAUCACAUCACUGCACUCCAGCCUGGGAGACAGAGUGAGACUCCGUCUCAAAAAAAAAAAAAGAAAAGAAAAAUUAGUCAGCUGUGAUGGUGUGCACCUGUAGUCCCAGCUACUCUGAAAGCUAAGGCACGAGAAUCGCUUGAACCUGGGAGGCGGAGGUUGCAGUGAGCUGAGAUCAUGCCACUGCACUCCAGCCUGGAUGACAGAAUGAAACUGUGUCUCAAAAAGAAAAAAAAAAACAAAAACUAGUAGCUAGCCCCACCCCCGCCAUUUUUCCAGACUCCAGAGAGUGGGGUGUGUGGAAGACAGGGACUGGUCUGGUGGCAUGUAGAUUCAUAAAUGGCGUCCAAACCUGGAGCUGUUGCUGGCUUGGAAUGAAUGAACCAGUUCCAGCCAGGAACAGACUUUCCCACCAAGUGGGAGGUGGUCUACCUGCCCUUCACCAUCAUCUUUGUGCUCUCUGACACUGGUCAUCCUCAGUUACCCAAUAUACCCCUCGCCCCAGCCCCAUCCCUAGUCACCCCUCAUUCCUAGUAGUACCCCCAGUUCUGCUUCAAUUUGAUUCAGCAGAUCAAGAAAGCACUAUCACCAAUGGUCGCAAGGUCAUGCUUAAGUCUUGGAACUGGCCAUCAGUGUGAAAGUUCAACAGGUAUUCAGUAAGCAGAUCUAGGAAAAACUCACUCUAAUAACGUUCCAGGAAUUUCCUAAGACCAUAGUGGGAGACAGCUGCAUCAGAGGCCUCCCAGUGCCAUAGGACCAUGGACAUUGGUGAGCAACUGUGUGCUGGGAGGAAAUGGCUGCUUAUUGGCAUGGAGUUAUUGAAUGCAGAACUUUUCAGCCAAGCACAGUGCUAUUCUUCUGAAAUCAUAACAUCAUGAGGACAUCCACUGCUUGUACUCAAAUAGCAUUCCUCACAGGAAUGUCACACCUGUGACUCUCUCAUACCUCCAAAAUCUCACUGCUGUUCUGAAACGCAAGAGAUUUUGCCAAGGAAAUGCUGACAUUCCUUCUGUCCACUCCUCUCCCCACACUGCACUGUGUGGCCCCAGAGAGGAAAGACAAGGGCUGUUACCAUGGAGUUCUUGAAUUUCAUUAUUUAUCUCCCAACACAACUUUGGCCUCACCCUCUUCCCCAGCGUGAAGACGCACAACCCAAGUGGGACAGUCUGAAUUUCCCCACCCUCAGGUGUCAGAGAAUCAGAGGAAGUCAUGCUGCUUAUCUAGAAUCUGCUAGAAAUGGAGUUCACCCAAAGAAUGACCAUCACAGAAUUUAUGAACUACUCCUAGAUCAUGCAAUUAAUAAGUCCUCUAGCCCAGUACCACUCAAGGUAGGGUCUGGGCCCCAGUACCAGUCCAUAAACAGUUUGCUGCCGGCUGGGUGUGGUGGCUCAUGCCUAUAAUCCCAGCACUUUGGGAGGCCAAGGUGGGCGGAUCACUUGAGAUCAGGAGUUUAAGACCAGCCUGGCCAACAUGGUGAAUCCCCGUCUCUAUAAAAAGUACAAAAAUUAGCCAGGUAUGGUGGUAUGUGCCUGUGAUCCCAGCUACUCGGGAGGCUGAGGUGGGAGGAUCACCCAAGCCCAGGGAGGUCGAGGCUGCAAUGAGCCACCGUGAUGGUGAACUGCACUCCAGCUUGAGUGACAGAGUGAGAUCCUGUCUCAAAAAAAAGGGCGGGGUGCGGGGAUUUUGGGUAGUAAUAUCAAUAGCAGACAAAAUAGAAUUUGAGGCAAAAAGUGUUAAUAGGAUCAAGAUUUUUUUUUUUAAAGAACAAUCCACCACAAACAUAGCAAUCAUGAACAACCCAGAAAACAGCAUGAAAAUUAAAAGGAAAAUUGAGAUUUUAAAUACUUCUAAUAGAGGUGAUAGAGCAGGCAGCAGGGAAGUUAGUAACCUUGUCUAAUAGGUUAUCUGUACUCAACAAGCCUAGAACACACACUCCUUUCAAGUACCUGAGGAAUGUUUAUAACAGUAAAGAUGAACAGAGAUCAUAUUAUAAAUAGUUGGAAGAUUUAUUUUUUAUUUUGUUUUUUAGAAACAGGGUCUUGCCGGCCAGGCGUGGUGACUCAUGCCUGUAAUCUCAGCACUUUGCAAGGCCGAAGCGGGUGGAUCACCUGAGGUCAGGAGUUUGAGACCAGCCUAGCCAACAUGGCGAAACCUCGUCUCUACUAAAAAUACAAAAAUUAGCUGGGCGUAGUAGUGGGUGCCUAUAAUCCCAGCUACUUGGGAGGCUGAGGCAGGAGAAUUGCUUGAACCGGGAGGGUAGAGGUUGCAGUGAACCAUGGUCGCACCACUUCACUCCAGCCUGGACAAAAGAGCAAAACUCCAUCUCCAAAAAAAAAAAAGAAAAGAAACUGAGUCUUAUGGCUGGAUGCAGUGGCUCACGCCUGUAAUCCCAGCACUUUGGGAGGCCAAGGUAGGUGAAUCACUUGAGCCCAGGAGUUUGAGACCAACCUGGCCAACAUGGCGAAACUCCAUCUCUACUAAAAAUACAAAAGUUAGUUGGGCGUGGUGGUGUGCCCCUGUAAUCCCAGCUACUCAGGAGGCUGAGGCAGGAGAAUUGCUUGAACCCAGGAGGUGGAGGUUGCAAUGAGCCACUGCACUCCAGACUGCAUUCCAGCCUGGGCGACAGAACAAGACUCUGUCUCAAAAACAAAAACAAAAACAAAAAACUAGGUCUUUCUCUGUGGCCGACGCUGGAGUGCAGUGCCUUUUUGCAGGCACAAUCAUAGUGCACUGCAGCCCUGAACUCCUUGGCUCAAGUAAUCCUCCUGCCUCAGCCUCCUGAGUAACUGGGACUAUAGGUAUGCCCUACCAUGUGUGGCUAUAUUUGGUAGGUUUUAAAUGAAAAGAUUUUUGUUUUCUGUACAUUUAUUUAAAUUUAAAAAGUAUUUAAGCCAUCUUUAAGAAACUUAAUGUUGAGAAUGUUCUAGAAUAGUGAGUCAUUAGAUUUCAAAAUAUUGGUAUUGAACCAGAUGGUCUUGUGGCUUCAAAGAAGUCUCUGAAGUCACUCCAGGUGAUAUUAAAAGUACAGUGCUAGGACUGUCUGACCCAAAAUAUGUGGCUGGAACCAGAAAGGAUAUAAGCAUGGUUUGAGAAGGAAAAAAAGCUUAACAAGGGGGAAUUGAGGAAGCCAUUUGCAAAACUUCACAGGAAAGUUAAAUGAAUGAAUGAAUAAAAUGUGAUUAAUAAAUAUGGGGGCCAGGUACAGUGGCCUGCAUCUGUAAUCCCAGUGUUUUGGGAGGCCAAGGCAGGAGGUGCACUUGAGGCCAGGAGUUCAAGACCUGAGCAACACAGCAAGACCCCCGUCUCUAUAAAAAAUUUUAUAAAAUUAGCCGGGCAUGGUGGUAGACACCUGUAGUCCCAGCUACUUGGGAAGAUGAGGCAGAGGAUUGCCUGAGCCCAGGAGUUUGAGGUUAUAGUGAGCCAUGACUGUGCCACUGCACUCCAGCCUGGGCAACAAAGUGAGACCCUGACUCUAAAAGUAAAAUUAAAUUAAAUUAAAAAUAAGUGGAUAAAUAUGGGUUAUGCUGUGAAGCAUAGAGGGAGGGAUGAAGAGGGACAUUUUAAGCCACUUCUCUGGCCCCAGUUUCUAACAUUAUUUCUAAAAUGCAGGAUAUCUGGUUAUCCCAAACCAGUUAUAUUUUUAUUUAAAUUUGCUCAAAAUUUUUAUUUUUAAAUCUUAACAAUUUCUAAAAUCACACUUUUUAAUUUAUUUUGUAUUUUUUUGAGACAGGGUCUUACUUUGUCACCCAGGCUGGAGUGCAGGGGCACAAACAUGGCUCACUGCAGCCUCGACCUCCCAGCCUCAAGUGAUACUCCCGCCUCAGCCUCCCAAGUAGCUGGGACUACAGGCAUGCACCACCACACCUGGCUAAUUUUUUUAUAUUUUGUUUGUAGAGAUGGGGUUUCACCAUGUUGCCCUGUCUAGUCUUGAAACCUUGAGCUCAAGAGAUCUGCCCACCUUGGCCUCUCAAAGUGCUGGGAUUACAGGCGUGAGCCGUCCUGCCUGGCCUAGUCACACUUUUUUUUUUUUUUUUUUUUUUGGAGACAGAGUUUCACUCUUGUUGCCCAGGCUGGAGUGCAAUGGCAUGAUCUGGACUCACCGCAACCUCCGCCUCCUGGGUUCAAGCGAUUCUCCUGCCUCAGCCACCCAAGUAGCUGGGAUUAUAGGCAUGCACCACUAUGCCCGGCUAAUUUUGUAUUUUUAGUAGAGACAGGGCUUCUCCAUGAUGGUCAGGCUGGUCUCGAACUCCUGACCUCAGGUGAUCUGCCCGCCUCGGCCUCCCAGUGUUGGGAUUAUAGGCAUGAGCCACCGCGCCCAGCUAGUCACGCUUUUUAGUCAAGAUUUUUAAAAAUGUCUGCAUGCUUUUCUGAGAGCCUUACCUCUCUUGUGAUUUGAAGCAUUUUCUCCACCAGGCCUAAGGCUGAAGGAAUGUAGUUUGCUGCCCUUCAGUCUAUGACAAGGAGGUCUGUUUCCUCCAACGCCUGCCUUUUAGACAGAGUGUUGAUUCACAGGGAACAGAGGCAGACCUGGGGCUGACACUGAAUGAAUGCUACUCACAGCAGUAAGGGGAAAAGUGGGAAAGUCUUGUUUAUGCUGUGGCUGAUGUGGAUGUCUUUGGGGAAGAAAAAUUCAGGAUGAGUUUAUUGAGAGCAUUAUUUUUGAAAGUAUAAGAUUUGUGAUUGUAAUAUAAACUUAAAUCACUUUGGGAAUGAAUUUAAAAAAUCUAUGUGACACAAAUUAAUCAUCAUUCUCAUUGUAAAUUUGGCAAAGUAUUUGUAAUUAGGAAUAUCUGUCAUACUGGCACUGGGCAAAUUAUUCUGAAUGUUCCCAUGCUGAAGAUUCUCUCAAAAAGGGAAAAAACAAGAUCCUUUGUUUGUAUAAGUACAAUCAGUUUGCUGAAUAAAACCUUUAUAGCUACAAUUAUAACAGGAUUGUUUCUACAUUUUAGCUUGGAGAUCCCAUGACUACUCUGUUUUGCUAAUAAUAAACCAAUACAGUGCUACA
Homo sapiens (human) is the source of this 17781-nucleotide RNA transcript. It is a transcript of the gene named solute carrier family 35 member E3, with no coding region annotated. NCBI's taxonomy places the organism in Eukaryota, Metazoa, Chordata, Mammalia, Primates, Hominidae. The record is from RefSeq and is marked validated. The transcript has 5 exons.